Mauremys reevesii (Reeves's turtle) is the source of this 439-nucleotide long non-coding RNA. RefSeq lists it as uncharacterized. Lineage: Eukaryota; Metazoa; Chordata; Testudines; Geoemydidae. The transcript is spliced from 3 exons. The record is from RefSeq and is a predicted model, not a curated record.
ACUGAGCAACAGGGCCUUAUAAGGCAGCCAGGGAAACCAGGAGCAAGAAGUCUCUCUCUACCUACAGGGAGUUAAGAGACAAAGUACCAGGCUAGGCUGAGCUGGAGCUGAGGGUGCUCCAGCAUGGAAAGCCCCAGGCUACAGCCUAGCAUUAGGCUAACAGGGCCAUGUCUACACGUACAGAAGAUCCACACUGCUGCAAUUGAUGCAGCGGGGGUCAAUUUAGUGGGUCUAGUGAAGACCCACUAAAUCUACCGCAGAACGCUCUCCAAUCAACUCCAAUACUCCACCGAAACAAGAAGAUCAAGGAACUGAAGACCCUGAGAGCUGGACUAGAGAGCUGCAGCUGACGGAGCCGCAGGGAAUCACCCACACUGAGGAGCCUGGAAACCCUGAUGCUCAAUGGAUUACAGCAGCGGUCCCCAACCUUUUUGGCACC